This 839-nucleotide ribosomal RNA is filed under the name uncultured bacterium. Its description in RNAcentral is "bacterial SSU rRNA". It matches the Rfam family "Bacterial small subunit ribosomal RNA", at positions 60 to 862 of the family's 1533-position model. The record is from RNAcentral.
AGUCGUACGAGUUCUCGUUGAUGAUCGGUGCUUGCACCGAGAUUCAACAUGGAACGAGUGGCGGACGGGUGAGUAACACGUGGGUAACCUGCCCUUAAGUGGGGGAUAACAUUUGGAAACAGAUGCUAAUACCGCAUAGAUCCAAGAACCGCAUGGUUCUUGGCUGAAAGAUGGCGUAAGCUAUCGCUUUUGGAUGGACCCGCGGCGUAUUAGCUAGUUGGUGAGGUAAUGGCUCACCAAGGCGAUGAUACGUAGCCGAACUGAGAGGUUGAUCGGCCACAUUGGGACUGAGACACGGCCCAAACUCCUACGGGAGGCAGCAGUAGGGAAUCUUCCACAAUGGACGCAAGUCUGAUGGAGCAACGCCGCGUGAGUGAAGAAGGCUUUCGGGUCGUAAAACUCUGUUGUUGGAGAAGAAUGGUCGGCAGAGUAACUGUUGUCGGCGUGACGGUAUCCAACCAGAAAGCCACGGCUAACUACGUGCCAGCAGCCGCGGUAAUACGUAGGUGGCAAGCGUUAUCCGGAUUUAUUGGGCGUAAAGCGAGCGCAGGCGGUUUUUUAAGUCUGAUGUGAAAGCCCUCGGCUUAACCGAGGAAGCGCAUCGGAAACUGGGAAACUUGAGUGCAGAAGAGGACAGUGGAACUCCAUGUGUAGCGGUGAAAUGCGUGGAUAUAUGGAAGAACACCAGUGGCGAAGGCGGCUGUCUGGUCUGUAACUGACGCUGAGGCUCGAAAGCAUGGGUAGCGAACAGGAUUAGAUACCCUGGUAGUCCAUGCCGUAAACGAUGAAUGCUAGGUGUUGGAGGGUUUCCGCCCUUCAGUGCCGCAGCUAACGCAUUA